GAAUCCUUAGGAAAUCUUAUACCCCUGCCCUCCGAAGGCAGAGGUCAGAGGUUCGAAUCCUCUUGGGUGCGCCA
This 74-nucleotide transfer RNA is filed under the name Hyphomonas sp. Its description in RNAcentral is "tRNA-Arg". It matches the Rfam family "tRNA". Rfam says of the family: Transfer RNA (tRNA) molecules are approximately 80 nucleotides in length. Their secondary structure includes four short double-helical elements and three loops (D, anti-codon, and T loops). Further hydrogen bonds mediate the characteristic L-shaped molecular structure. tRNAs have two regions of fundamental functional importance: the anti-codon, which is responsible for specific mRNA codon recognition, and the 3' end, to which the tRNAs corresponding amino acid is attached (by aminoacyl-tRNA synthetases). tRNAs cope with the degeneracy of the genetic code in two manners: having more than one tRNA (with a specific anti-codon) for a particular amino acid; and 'wobble' base-pairing, i.e. permitting non-standard base-pairing at the 3rd anti-codon position. The record is from RNAcentral. Lineage: Bacteria; Pseudomonadati; Pseudomonadota; Alphaproteobacteria; Hyphomonadales; Hyphomonadaceae.